This 429-nucleotide ribosomal RNA is filed under the name Chloroflexota bacterium. RNAcentral's name for it is "Chloroflexi bacterium partial 16S ribosomal RNA". It matches the Rfam family "Bacterial small subunit ribosomal RNA", at positions 355 to 776 of the family's 1533-position model. The record is from RNAcentral. Lineage: Bacteria; Bacillati; Chloroflexota.
UGGGGAAUAUUGCACAAUGGGCGCAAGCCUGAUGCAGCCAUGCCGCGUGUAUGAAGAAGGCCUUCGGGUUGUAAAGUACUUUCAGCGGGGAGGAAGGGAGUAAAGUUAAUACCUUUGCUCAUUGACGUUACCCGCAGAAGAAGCACCGGCUAACUCCGUGCCAGCAGCCGCGGUAAUACGGAGGGUGCAAGCGUUAAUCGGAAUUACUGGGCGUAAAGCGCACGCAGGCGGUUUGUUAAGUCAGAUGUGAAAUCCCCGGGCCCAACCUGGGAACUGCAUCUGAUACUGGCAAGCUUGAGUCUCGUAGAGGGGGGUAGAAUUCCAGGUGUAGCGGUGAAAUGCGUAGAGAUCUGGAGGAAUACCGGUGGCGAAGGCGGCCCCCUGGACGAAGACUGACGCUCAGGUGCGAAAGCGUGGGGAGCAAACAGG